This 468-nucleotide ribosomal RNA is filed under the name uncultured bacterium. RNAcentral's name for it is "partial 16S ribosomal RNA". It matches the Rfam family "Bacterial small subunit ribosomal RNA", at positions 28 to 507 of the family's 1533-position model. The record is from RNAcentral.
GACGAACGCUGGCGGCGUGCUUAACACAUGCAAGUCGAAUGGAAAGGCCCUGCUUUUGUGGGGUGCUCGAGUGGCGAACGGGUGAGUAACACGUGAGUCACCUGCCCUUGCCUUUGGGAUAACUUCAGGAAACUGGGGCUAAUACCGGAUAGGAGCUCCUGCUGCAUGGUGGGGGUUGGAAAGUUUCGGCGGUUGGGGAUGGACUCGCGGCUUAUCAGCUUGUUGGUGGGGUAGUGGCUUACCUAGGCUUUGACGGGUAGCCGGCCUGAGAGGGUGACCGGCCACAUUGGGACUGAGAUACGGCCCAGACUCAUACGGGAGGCAGCAGUGGGGAAUAUUGCACAAUGGGCGGAAGCCUGAUGCAGCAACGCCGGGUGCGGGAUGACGGCCUUCGGGUUGUAAACCGCUUUCGCCUGUGACGAAGCGGGAGUGACGGUAAUGGGUAAAGAAGCACCGGCUAACUACGUG